Molecule: ribosomal RNA, 497 nt
Filed under: uncultured bacterium
Lineage: Bacteria
Description: partial 16S ribosomal RNA
Rfam family: Bacterial small subunit ribosomal RNA
Source: RNAcentral
GAUGAACGCUGGCGGCGUGCCUAAUACAUGCAAGUCGAGCGAACAGACGAGGAGCUUGCUCCUCUGACGUUAGCGGCGGACGGGUGAGUAACACGUGGAUAACCUACCUAUAAGACUGGGAUAACUUCGGGAAACCGGAGCUAAUACCGGAUAAUAUAUUGAACCGCAUGGUUCAAUAGUGAAAGACGGUUUUGCUGGCACUUAUAGAUGGAUCCGCGCCGCAUUAGCUAGUUGGUAAGGUAACGGCUUACCAAGGCAACGAUGCGUAGCCGACCUGAGAGGGUGAUCGGCCACACUGGAACUGAGACACGGUCCAGACUCCUACGGGAGGCAGCAGUAGGGAAUCUUCCGCAAUGGGCGAAAGCCUGACGGAGCAACGCCGCGUGAGUGAUGAAGGUCUUCGGAUCGUAAAACUCUGUUAUUAGGGAAGAACAAAUGUGUAAGUAACUAUGCACGUCUUGACGGUACCUAAUCAGAAAGCCACGGCUAACUACGUG